AAGAAAAUGACAGAAUGGUGAUGUGCCUGGCUUGAAACCAGGGUAUAGGGGUUCGAUUCCCUUUUUUCUCG
Molecule: transfer RNA, 71 nt
Filed under: Mannophryne trinitatis (Trinidad poison frog)
Lineage: Eukaryota; Metazoa; Chordata; Amphibia; Anura; Aromobatidae
Description: tRNA-Ser
Rfam family: tRNA
About the family: Transfer RNA (tRNA) molecules are approximately 80 nucleotides in length. Their secondary structure includes four short double-helical elements and three loops (D, anti-codon, and T loops). Further hydrogen bonds mediate the characteristic L-shaped molecular structure. tRNAs have two regions of fundamental functional importance: the anti-codon, which is responsible for specific mRNA codon recognition, and the 3' end, to which the tRNAs corresponding amino acid is attached (by aminoacyl-tRNA synthetases). tRNAs cope with the degeneracy of the genetic code in two manners: having more than one tRNA (with a specific anti-codon) for a particular amino acid; and 'wobble' base-pairing, i.e. permitting non-standard base-pairing at the 3rd anti-codon position.
Source: RNAcentral